UAUGUGAUCGUCUCUCGCAUAUCAAUAAGCGGAGGAAAAGAAACUAACAAGGAUUCCCCUAGUAACGGCGAGUGAAGCGGGAAGAGCUCAAAUUUGAAAUCUUAAAGGGUUUCCCUUUACGAAUUGUAGUUUAAAGAAGUGUUUUCUGUUGAGGUUUUGGUAAAAGUUCUUUGGAAUAGGACAUCAUAGAGGGUGAGAGUCCCGUAUUUGACCUUUACUUUCAACUUUGUGAUACACUUUCAAAGAGUCGGAUUGUUUGGGAAUGCAGUCCAAAAUGGGUGGUAAAUUUCAUCUAAAGCUAAAUAUUGGCGAGAGACCGAUAGCGAACAAGUACCGUGAGGGAAAGAUGAAAAGAACUUUGAAAAGAGAGUUAAACAGUACGUGAAAUUGUCAAAAGGGAAGCGUUUGACACCAGUGUUGUUUUUCUGAAAAUCAAUUAAAGAACUGUUUAUGCUAAGCUGUUUAGACUUUAUCAGCUAAUCUGUUUAGUUUUGAGCUUUUCUUUAAUGCACUUUUCAGUUAACAAGUCAACAUCAAUUUCUUUUGCUGUAAAAAAGCUUGAGGAAGGUGGCUUGAGAUUCGUCUUAAGUGUUUAUAGCCUCUUGCCUAUGCAGUCGGAGAGAUUGAGGUCUGCAGCGUAGAUCCUUCGGGGCUAAAUGCAUUUGUGCUAAGUUAUAGCAUUUCAUAGACAACUUGUUGACUAUGAUUUGUCUUGUAGCUUACUCGCUUAUGUUAUUUUACCUACGCUUAGGAUGUUGAUAUGCAUGACUGAUAU
This 775-nucleotide ribosomal RNA is filed under the name uncultured Neocallimastigales. RNAcentral's name for it is "partial large subunit ribosomal RNA". It matches the Rfam family "Eukaryotic large subunit ribosomal RNA", at positions 24 to 640 of the family's 3401-position model. Lineage: Eukaryota; Fungi; Neocallimastigomycota; Neocallimastigomycetes; Neocallimastigales. The record is from RNAcentral.